ACGAGAAAGGGGAGCAAUCCCUGAGUAAAGUGGCGUACGGGUGAGUAACACGUGGAUCAUCUACCUUUUAGUGGGGAAUACCCCCGGGAAACUGGGGACAAUACCGCAUAAGCUCGUGAGAGGAAAGCAGCAAUGCGCUGAAAGAGGAGUCCGCGGCUGAUUAGCUAGUUGGUGAGGUAACGGCCCACCAAGGCGAAGAUCGGUAGCCGGCCUGAGAGGGCACACGGCCACACUGGCACUGAAAUACGGGCCAGACUCCUACGGGAGGCAGCAGUGGGGAAUCUUGCACAAUGGAGGAAACUCUGAUGCAGCGACGCCGCGUGAACGAUGAAGCCCUUCGGGGUGUAAAGUUCUUUCGACGGGAACGAUAAUGACGGUACCCGAAGAAGAAGCUGCGGCUAACUACGUGCCAGCAGCCGCGGUAAUAUGUAGGCAGCAAGCGUUGUUCGGAAUUACUGGGCGUAAAGAGUGCGUAGGCGGUGCUCUAAGUCUGUUGUGAAAUCUCCCGGCUUAACUGGGAGGGUGCAGCGGAAACUGGAGUGCUUGAGGGUGGGAGAGGUAAGCGGAAUUCCUGGUGUAGCGGUGAAAUGCGUAGAUAUCAGGAGGAACACCUGUGGUGUAGACAGCUUACUGGACCACUUCUGACGCUGAGGCACGAAAGCGUGGGUAGCAAACAGGAUUAGAUACCCUGGUAGUCCACGCCCUAAACGAUG
RNAcentral lists this ribosomal RNA (713 nucleotides) under uncultured bacterium. Its description in RNAcentral is "bacterial SSU rRNA". It matches the Rfam family "Bacterial small subunit ribosomal RNA", at positions 66 to 811 of the family's 1533-position model. The record is from RNAcentral.